CUCCAUUCUUUCUUCUCCUCUGGGUAUGAAACCCUCCGCCAUCCACAACCGUAUUAUGUCAUCAGCAUCGACCACUCGAUCUUCUGGAAAAAUACCAAAGUAGAGAAAACACUGCUUGAGCGCAGUUGACAAAUCAUUGUAGCUUAAGGAUAGUAUGUUAGAGAUUUCGAUAGAUUUAUCUUCUUUAAUAUUCUUCCAAAGGUGAUCUUUCACCUUUUGCCAUUCGUUUAGCCCCUUUUUAUGCGAAAGUAGUCCGCUCAAUACAACAAUCGCAAGAGGUAAGCCUCUACACUUUUCCACCAUAUCCUUAGC
Molecule: long non-coding RNA, 312 nt
Organism: Solanum stenotomum
Lineage: Eukaryota; Viridiplantae; Streptophyta; Magnoliopsida; Solanales; Solanaceae
Exons: 2
Source: RefSeq, a predicted model, not a curated record